RNAcentral lists this ribosomal RNA (253 nucleotides) under uncultured bacterium. RNAcentral describes it as "partial 16S ribosomal RNA". It matches the Rfam family "Bacterial small subunit ribosomal RNA", at positions 524 to 776 of the family's 1533-position model. The record is from RNAcentral.
UACGAAGGGGGCUAGCGUUGCUCGGAAUCACUGGGCGUAAAGGGUGCGUAGGCGGGUCUUUAAGUCAGGGGUGAAAUCCUGGAGCUCAACUCCAGAACUGCCUUUGAUACUGAGGAUCUUGAGUUCGGGAGAGGUGAGUGGAACUGCGAGUGUAGAGGUGAAAUUCGUAGAUAUUCGCAAGAACACCAGUGGCGAAGGCGGCUCACUGGCCCGAUACUGACGCUGAGGCACGAAAGCCAGGGGAGCGAACGGG